Molecule: transfer RNA, 69 nt
Filed under: Leptalpheus forceps
Lineage: Eukaryota; Metazoa; Arthropoda; Malacostraca; Decapoda; Alpheidae
Description: tRNA-Gln
Source: RNAcentral
UAUGUCUUGGUGUAAUAAGCACACAAAGUUUUGAUCUUUGGGGGAUAGGGUAGGACCCUAUAGAUAUAA